AUGCACGCUGGCGGCGUGCCUAAUCCAUGCAAGUCGAGCGAACAGACGAGGAGCUUGCUCCUCUGACGUUAGCGGCGGACGGGUGAGUAACACGUGGAUAACCUACCUAUAAGACUGGGAUAACUUCGGGAAACCGGAGCUAAUACCGGAUAAUAUAUUGAACCGCAUGGUUCAAUAGUGAAAGACGGUUUUGCUGUCACUUAUAGAUGGAUCCGCGCCGCAUUAGCUAGUUGGUAAGGUAACGGCUUACCAAGGCAACGAUGCGUGGCCGACCUGAGAGGGUGAUCGGCCACACUGGAACUGAGACACGGUCCAGACUCCUACGGGAGGCAGCAGUAGGGAAUCUUCCGCAAUGGGCGAAAGCCUGACGGAGCAACGCCGCGUGAGUGAUGAAGGUCUUCGGAUCGUAAAACUCUGCUAUUAGGGAAGAACAAAUGUGUAAGUAACUAUGCACGUCUUGACGGUACCUAAUCAGAAAGCCACGGCUAACUACGUG
This 496-nucleotide ribosomal RNA is filed under the name uncultured bacterium. RNAcentral's name for it is "partial 16S ribosomal RNA". It matches the Rfam family "Bacterial small subunit ribosomal RNA", at positions 29 to 507 of the family's 1533-position model. The record is from RNAcentral.